GCAACCAUUGAUAGCUCAACUGGUUAGAGCAUGGUGCUGAUAAUGUCAAGGUCGCAGGUUCAGUCCCCAUAUGGGACAGUUGCA
This 84-nucleotide transfer RNA is filed under the name Podarcis lilfordi (Lilford's wall lizard). Its description in RNAcentral is "tRNA.Ile". The record is from RNAcentral. Lineage: Eukaryota; Metazoa; Chordata; Lepidosauria; Squamata; Lacertidae.